CCUACGGGUGGCAGCAGUGAGGAAUAUUGGUCAAUGGCCGAGAGGCUGAACCAGCCAAGCCGCGUGAAGGACGAAGGUCCCAUGCAUUGUAAACUUCUUUUGUCAAGGAACAAAAUCAGGCACGCGAGCGUGUCCGCGGGUACUUGAAGAACAAGCAUCGGCUAACUCCGUGCCAGCAGCCGCGGUAAUACGGAGGAUGCGAGCGUUAUCCGGAUUUAUUGGGUUUAAAGGGUGCGUAGGCGGGCUGUUAAGUCAGCGGUAAGAGCGCGGGGCUCAACCCCGGCGAGCCGUUGAAACUGGCGGUCUUGAGAGGGCGAGAGGUAGGCGGAAGGCGUAGUGUAGCGGUGAAAUGCUUAGAUAUCGCGCAGAACUCCGAUUGCGAAGGCAGCAUACCGGCGGCGAUCUGACGCUGAGGCACGAAAGCGUGGGUAUCGAACAGGAUUAGAUACCCGAGUAGUC
RNAcentral lists this ribosomal RNA (459 nucleotides) under uncultured bacterium. RNAcentral's name for it is "partial 16S ribosomal RNA". It matches the Rfam family "Bacterial small subunit ribosomal RNA", at positions 338 to 795 of the family's 1533-position model. The record is from RNAcentral.